RNAcentral lists this ribosomal RNA (477 nucleotides) under uncultured bacterium. Its description in RNAcentral is "partial 16S ribosomal RNA". It matches the Rfam family "Bacterial small subunit ribosomal RNA", at positions 28 to 507 of the family's 1533-position model. The record is from RNAcentral.
GAUGAACGCUGGCGGCGUGCCUAAUACAUGCAAGUCGAGCGAACAGACGAGGAGCUUGCUCCUCUGACGUUAGCGGCGGACGGGUGAGUAACACGUGGAUAACCUACCUAUAAGACUGGGAUAACUUCGGGAAACCGGAGCUAAUACCGGAUAACAUAUUGAACCGCAUGGUUCAAUAGUGAAAGACGGUUUUGCUGUCACUUAUAGAUGGAUCCGCGCCGCAUUAGCUAGUUGGUAAGGUAACGGCUUACCAAGGCAACGAUGCUUAGCCGACCUGAGAGGGAGACCGGCCACAAUGCGACUGAGGAAGGGACCAGAGUGAUACGGGAGGAAGGGGGGGAGAAUAUUGCAGAAUGGGCGAGAGUGUGAUGUAGAGACGCCGCGUGAGAAAUGCCGGCUUUUGGGUUGUAAACAUAUUUGAGAAGGGAAGAAGCGAUAGUGACGGUACCUGAAGAAGAAGCGCCGGCUAACUACGUG